CAUCUCGCUCGGGGACAUUGAGCUCUCUGGUCAGCGUGUUGCUUUCAAUUGGCAUCAUAUGUCCCGGAUCAUAGCGAGCUACUGUUGCUGCCGUGCUAAACAAAUCCAGGCUGCACAGGAAAAUCCGAAACCAGGGAAACACCAUCUUCAUAGAGAACAAAGUGUGGAGCUGGAUGAACACAGCAGGCCAAACGCGUUCUUCCAACACUCAGCCGCUUGUUUUUGAAACUGUUGCACAACACGAGGUGACCCCAUCGGCUAAAUAAAUCUCCGAGGUUGGAGGCAGACAUACAAGAGCUGGGCCAGAACAACUGAACUUCAUUAAGAGUGGGGAGGACCCUGCCUACGUUCUGUUUUGACAGAGAUUUCCUUACUUUAAAGUGGUCAAUUGUUGAAGACAAAACUUAAACAAGACACAUCCUUAAAAAAAACUUCAGGAUACCUCGACCGAAGGCCACAAAAGUAUAUCAAAGCAGUAAAAGCUGAAAAAAGGAGAAAGCUACCCAUCAAAUUUGGCUUAUAAAACAUUUCUUCGAGCAAACAAGCUGCAAUAUUCCACUAAAUGGAGGAAGAAACAAUGUUUUGGCCCAGGAUUUUAGAAGCAUCAUGAGAGAGGGUCAGAGACACACAGAAUCCACACACAAAAACCUCUACACAGGGAAUGAAAUGCAUCUUAACUUUAUUACAAGGUGAAUCAGUGGUUUUUGUUUUUACUAACACAGUGCAAAACAAACAAGUAAUUAUUAGUAAUGGGAUAUUUACAGACAAAGAAUCAGAAGUUACAGCAUAGAUCAUUUAGUCCAUAAUGUCUGUGCUGGUGCAUAAGAGAUGAUGGCAUAUUGCUACCAUUGAUUGCAGUUUCUUGAAUUGCAAGAUUACAUUAGUCAGAAUGUUCUCAGAUCUUAAAUCCAUCCCAACUGGCCCCAUGAACCGGAGGCCUCACAGGUGUCCCAGGAGGUUAAAGUAACACAAUAGUGCAUUUUCCAUGUCUUGCAAAAAAGAAUAAAUCUGGAAGAAAAAGAUGCAAAAUUGGAGAGGGGAAACAAAAUCUUUUUCUAUCCAAACUCCCAAACACCCAUCCUUUCAUUGGCAUGGCAGCCUCUCACCAGGGCUCAACCCUUGGGCAACCUCAUCCAAAGCAGGUGCUUCACAUUCAGGAGUUUCAGCUAGCAAUGGCUCACAACACUGAAGCAUCAACAAACCCCGUGGAAAAUUCAGUCCUCAAAAGGAAUACACUUCACUGGCACUCAAUCUGUUUUUAAUCAACUGUCAAGUUUCUUACUUGCAGAAUGGAGCAGAGAAACUCAAUCAUACAAUCCCUAUGUGGAAGCAGGCCAUUCAGUCCAUAGCCACCCUCCAAACAGCAUCCUAUCCACACCCACCCCACUACUGUAUCCCUGUAACUUUGCACUUAAAUUGGCUAAUUCA
This is a long non-coding RNA of Stegostoma tigrinum, 1428 nucleotides long. RefSeq lists it as uncharacterized. The transcript is spliced from 3 exons. NCBI's taxonomy places the organism in Eukaryota, Metazoa, Chordata, Chondrichthyes, Orectolobiformes, Stegostomatidae. The record is from RefSeq and is a predicted model, not a curated record.